RNAcentral lists this non-coding RNA (103 nucleotides) under Halomonas alimentaria. RNAcentral describes it as "traJ-II RNA". It matches the Rfam family "traJ-II RNA". The record is from RNAcentral. Lineage: Bacteria; Pseudomonadati; Pseudomonadota; Gammaproteobacteria; Oceanospirillales; Halomonadaceae.
GGGCAGGAUGUGUGAAGUAGUCCCACCUCGCAAGCGUGGUGUUCCUCUUCACUGGUCCUUAUUCGCACCUGCGGUGCUCAACGGACAUCCUGCUCUGCGAGGC